AUUGAACGCUGGCGGCAGGCCUAACACAUGCAAGUCGAACGGUAACAGGAAGCAGCUUGCUGCUUUGCUGACGAGUGGCGGACGGGUGAGUAAUGUCUGGGAAACUGCCUGAUGGAGGGGGAUAACUACUGGAAACGGUAGCUAAUACCGCAUAACGUCGCAAGACCAAAGAGGGGGACCUUCGGGCCUCUUGCCAUCGGACGUGCCCAGAUGGGAUUAGCUAGUAGGUGGGGUAACGGCUCACCUAGGCGACGAUCCCUAGCUGGUCUGAGAGGAUGACCAGCCACACUGGAACUGAGACACGGUCCAGACUCCUACGGGAGGCAGCAGUGGGGAAUAUUGCACAAUGGGCGCAAGCCUGAUGCAGCCACGCCGCGUGUAUGAAGAAGGCCUUCGGGUUGUAAAGUACUUUCAGCGGGGAGGAAGGGAGUAAAGUUAAUACCUUUGCCCAUUGACGUUACCCGCAGAAGAAGCACCGGCUAACUCCGUG
Molecule: ribosomal RNA, 490 nt
Filed under: uncultured bacterium
Lineage: Bacteria
Description: partial 16S ribosomal RNA
Rfam family: Bacterial small subunit ribosomal RNA
Source: RNAcentral